This is a long non-coding RNA of Diuraphis noxia (Russian wheat aphid), 215 nucleotides long. The record is from RefSeq and is a predicted model, not a curated record. Lineage: Eukaryota; Metazoa; Arthropoda; Insecta; Hemiptera; Aphididae.
AAACAUUGUGGUUCACAUUGCCCGUAACAUAUACAUGGAGUUGGCUGAAAUAAUGGCAUUAGAKCUUUAAAUAGUGUUGAAGUAUUUGAUGUCAGUAUACAAAAAUGGCAAAUGGUAUCAAGUAUGUCAAUUUCAAAAAGAUUUUGGGUGUUGAUGUACUCAAUCAUCAGUCAUAUGCGAUUGGAUGUGCUAAUAAUAUAUAUAUAUAUAUAUAU